GACGAACGCUGGCGGCGUGCUUAACACAUGCAAGUCGAACGGAAAGGCCCUGCUUGCAGGGUACUCGAGUGGCGAACGGGUGAGUAACACGUGGGUGAUCUGCCCUGCACUUCGGGAUAAGCCUGGGAAACUGGGUCUAAUACCGGAUAGGAGCCAUUUUUAGUGUGAUGGUUGGAAAGUUUUUUUCGGUGUAGGAUGAGCUCGCGGCCUAUCAGCUUGUUGGUGGGGUAAUGGCCUACCAAGGCGGCGACGGGUAGCCGGCCUGAGAGGGUGGACGGCCACAUUGGGACUUAGAUACGGCCCAGACUCCUACGGGAGGCAGCAGGGGGGAAUAUUGCACAAUGGGCGCAAGCCUGAUGCAGCGACGCCGCGUGGGGGAUGACGGCCUUCGGGUUGUAAACUCCUUUCGCUAGGGACGAAGCUUUUUGUGACGGUACCUAGAUAAGAAGCACCGGCUAACUACGUG
This 466-nucleotide ribosomal RNA is filed under the name uncultured bacterium. Its description in RNAcentral is "partial 16S ribosomal RNA". It matches the Rfam family "Bacterial small subunit ribosomal RNA", at positions 28 to 507 of the family's 1533-position model. The record is from RNAcentral.